GCUGGGCGCAGUGGCUCACGCCUGUAAUCCCAGCACUUUGGGAGGCAGAGGCGGGUGGAUCACCUGAGGUCAGGAGUUCGAGACCAGCCUGACCAACAUGGUGAAACCCCGUCUCUA
This is an unclassified non-coding RNA of Pongo abelii (Sumatran orangutan), 117 nucleotides long. It matches the Rfam family "Metazoan signal recognition particle RNA". Rfam says of the family: The signal recognition particle (SRP) is a universally conserved ribonucleoprotein. It is involved in the co-translational targeting of proteins to membranes. The eukaryotic SRP consists of a 300-nucleotide 7S RNA and six proteins: SRPs 72, 68, 54, 19, 14, and 9. The record is from Ensembl. NCBI's taxonomy places the organism in Eukaryota, Metazoa, Chordata, Mammalia, Primates, Hominidae.